AGAGUUUGAUCCUGGCUCAGAUUGAACGCUGGCGGCAUGCCUUACACAUGCAAGUCGAACGGCAGCACGGACUUCGGUCUGGUGGCGAGUGGCGAACGGGUGAGUAAUGCAUCGGAACGUGCCCUGAAGUGGGGGAUAACGUAGCGAAAGUUACGCUAAUACCGCAUAUUCUGUGAGCAGGAAAGCAGGGGAUCGCAAGACCUUGCGCUUUAGGAGCGGCCGAUGUCGGAUUAGCUAGUUGGCGGGGUAAAAGCCCACCAAGGCGACGAUCCGUAGCGGGUCUGAGAGGAUGAUCCGCCACACUGGGACUGAGACACGGCCCAGACUCCUACGGGAGGCAGCAGUGGGGAAUUUUGGACAAUGGGCGCAAGCCUGAUCCAGCCAUGCCGCGUGAGUGAAGAAGGCCUUCGGGUUGUAAAGCUCUUUCGGCGGGGAAGAAAUCGCACUUUCUAAUACAGAGUGUGGAUGACGGUACCCGAAUAAGAAGCACCGGCUAACUACNNGCCAGCCGCCGCGGUAAUUC
Molecule: ribosomal RNA, 523 nt
Filed under: uncultured soil bacterium
Lineage: Bacteria
Description: bacterial SSU rRNA
Rfam family: Bacterial small subunit ribosomal RNA
Source: RNAcentral